This 89-nucleotide transfer RNA is filed under the name Thermotogaceae bacterium. RNAcentral's name for it is "tRNA-OTHER". It matches the Rfam family "tRNA". Rfam says of the family: Transfer RNA (tRNA) molecules are approximately 80 nucleotides in length. Lineage: Bacteria; Thermotogati; Thermotogota; Thermotogae; Thermotogales; Thermotogaceae. The record is from RNAcentral.
GCAGGGGUAUCAAAGUGGCCAUCACAGGGCUGACCCGAAAUCAGCUUGGCCCCAAACCCACGCGGGUUCGAAUCCCACCCCCUGCGCCA